This 426-nucleotide long non-coding RNA is filed under the name Bos taurus (domestic cattle). RNAcentral's name for it is "long non-coding RNA NONBTAT011992". The record is from RNAcentral. Lineage: Eukaryota; Metazoa; Chordata; Mammalia; Artiodactyla; Bovidae.
GUUUUUUGUUUUGUUUUGUUUCUGUUUUUUAAUCAUUUUCAGAUGUUAUCCAGAAAUCUGCAAGUGUACUUUUCCUGUUUUAACUCCUUCCUUUUAUCACCUGACUAUCAGGGAAGCGAGGUUGAGGCUGCCCUGACCUGACAUGUCAUGAUGUCGACUUGCUAGGUGGGGUUCGCUGGGGACGAUAACCAGUGGAAUUAUUGGUAAGAACUUCUCAAAUUCUUAGGUUAGCAGGAAAGGCCUGCAAGUUUGAAGUAAAGUAAUGAAAUACUCAGGGUAUAUUAUAAGUGGUCAAGAUAGACUAAAUCUCUUGGAGAAACAGUAAAUUUGCUUUAUUUUAUGUGAUUUUCAGUCCCUCUGAUAUCUUCAGUAUAUUUACAUUUUAUUGGAUAGAUUAUCUUAAAAGUUUUAGCAAUUUGACAAAUA